This 165-nucleotide unclassified non-coding RNA is filed under the name uncultured Venturiaceae. RNAcentral's name for it is "sequence contains ITS1". The record is from RNAcentral. Lineage: Eukaryota; Fungi; Ascomycota; Dothideomycetes; Venturiales; Venturiaceae.
CUGGGACCCAGGUUGGGUGCUUCGGCGCCCGCCCCCACCCUUUGCUUAGCCCCCGAAAUUAUGCAAAACCGUCGGCCUUUGGCGCGCCCGCCUGACAGCGUGGUGUGCCGGCCGGACAUCAAACCCUGAACAACAUUGCAGCCUGAAGUUAAAAGCAAAUAAUUA